RNAcentral lists this ribosomal RNA (385 nucleotides) under uncultured bacterium. Its description in RNAcentral is "bacterial SSU rRNA". It matches the Rfam family "Bacterial small subunit ribosomal RNA", at positions 30 to 417 of the family's 1533-position model. The record is from RNAcentral.
AUUGAACGCUGGCGGAAUGCUUUACACAUGCAAGUCGAACGGUAGAGGGGGCAACCCCCUUGAGAGUGGCGAACGGGUGAGUAAUAUAUCGGAACGUGCCCAGUCGUGGGGAUAACGUAGCGAAAGUUACGCUAAUACCGCAUACGAUCUAAGGAUGAAAGCGGGGGAUCGCAAGACCUCGCGCGAUUGGAGCGGCCGAUAUCAGAUUAGGUAGUUGGUGAGGUAAAGGCUCACCAAGCCAACGAUCUGUAGCUGGUCUGAGAGGACGACCAGCCACACUGGGACUGAGACACGGCCCAGACUCCUACGGGAGGCAGCAGUGGGGGAAUUUUGGACAAUGGGGCGCAAGCCUGAUCCAGCAAUGCCGCGUGCAGGAUGAAGGCCU